RNAcentral lists this microRNA precursor (106 nucleotides) under Brassica napus (rape). RNAcentral's name for it is "pre miRNA MIR530". Lineage: Eukaryota; Viridiplantae; Streptophyta; Magnoliopsida; Brassicales; Brassicaceae. The record is from RNAcentral.
CCUAGCGUCUUCCUUUGAGUAUCUAUACGUAAAAUUCAAUUAUUAUGAUUUUGAUGAAUUAAAUAUAUUGAAUUUUACGUAUAGAUACUCAAAGGAAGACGCUAGG